Molecule: ribosomal RNA, 495 nt
Filed under: uncultured bacterium
Lineage: Bacteria
Description: partial 16S ribosomal RNA
Rfam family: Bacterial small subunit ribosomal RNA
Source: RNAcentral
GAUGAACGCUGGCGGCGUGCCUAAUACAUGCAAGCCGAGCGAACAGACGAGGAGCUUGCUCCUCUGACGUUAGCGGCGGACGGGUGAGUAACACGUGGAUAACCUACCUAUAAGACUGGGAUAACUUCGGGAAACCGGAGCUAAUACCGGAUAAUAUAUUGAACCGCAUGGUUCAAUAGUGAAAGACGGUUUUGCUGUCACUUAUAGAUGGAUCCGCGCCGCAUUAGCUAGUUGGUAAGGUAACGGCUUACCAAGGCAACGAUGCGUAGCCGACCUGAGAGGGUGAUCGGCCACACUGGAACUGAGACACGGUCCAGACUCCUACGGGAGGCAGCAGUAGGGAAUCUUCCGCAAUGGGCGAAAGCCUGACGGAGCAACGCCGCGUGAGUGAUGAAGGUCUUCGGAUCGUAAAACUCUGUUAUUAGGGAAGAACAAAUGUGUAAGUAACUAUGCACGUCUUGACGGUACCUAAUCAGAAAGCCACGGCUAACUACG